UUCUACCUAAAUAUUAUUUAAUAAUUCCCAAACCACCCUUAUUACCCCUAGAUUAUAGCCAUUGACCAAGUUGCCCCAUUGUGGCCUCUUCCCCCAACAAACCCACGUCACAUUCUCACUCUUAUCUCCUCUCUCUCUAUCUAUCUCCUCUUUCUCUCACACACACAAACACACACACACACAAAUUACACACACAAAUCCAACCGUUAUAGACCCAGCCCCGACCUCCAGCCCCUGCCGCCGCUGACGAAGCAGCCUCCCCACCACCGCCGAUCAUAAAUUGCGAUGGGUCUGCUACCGUCAAGAAAUCUCUGCCCCUCAAAAACCCCUCUUUCUUUCUCUCUCUACUGUUUUUGAGCACGUGUUUUCCAUGGAGUCGAGCUGUAUGCUCUGUUGUAAGUAGCAUAAGCUUCAAUUAAGAGGUUUAAAAAAAUCGAAGCAGAUGGAAAUAAUCGAAUCCAUCGAUAAUCUGCAAGUGCAGGAUCCGCCCGGUGAAGAUUUCUCUUCAGCCGAUUUGGAGUGGGUCAAGUUUGGAACCGCCGAGCGAUGUGAUGAUGUGGCGCUUAUUCCUUACGAUCGAGUUGAUGCCUUUAUAAUAGGAGAGUGUUCCUGUGUCGAGUGCCCGACUAGGUUCCACAUCGAGAGGGGAAGAAAACGAGCCAGGGGAAGCUUGAAGCAGUGCAAAAACGACGGCGUAUGUGUGCGUGGAUGGUGAUGGUAAUGAUGGUUGUGGCGGCGGUUUUGAGUGGAGGAUUGCGAUGGGUCUGUUGGUGGCGGCGGUUUUGGGUGGAGGAUUGCGAUUGGUCUUCUGGCGGCGGCGGUUUUGGGUGGAAGAUUGCGAUGGGUCUGCUGGCGGUGGCGUAUGUGUGUGUGGUAGUGAUGGUUAUGGCGGCGUUUUUUGGAUGUUGGGUUGGUGGGAGCGUGGCAGAAGAGCAUUAAGGCUUAAUCGACUAUGUUCAGUAGUCGAUUAAGGUUAACCGACUCUAGUUGUUAUUUUGUUUUUUUUUUUUUUUGUUUAUUG
Non-coding RNA from Erythranthe guttata (spotted monkey flower), 1021 nucleotides. The record is from RefSeq and is a predicted model, not a curated record. NCBI's taxonomy places the organism in Eukaryota, Viridiplantae, Streptophyta, Magnoliopsida, Lamiales, Phrymaceae.